GUUGUGAUGCUUUCUUCUCCGCGCUUCCAGCUCUCCUCCCCUCCAAACCCUGCUGUGGGGAGCAGGAUGCGGGCAGCAUCACCGCGGAUCAGCCAAUCAGAG
Long non-coding RNA from Salarias fasciatus (jewelled blenny), 102 nucleotides. RefSeq lists it as uncharacterized. Lineage: Eukaryota; Metazoa; Chordata; Actinopteri; Blenniiformes; Blenniidae. The record is from RefSeq and is a predicted model, not a curated record. The transcript is spliced from 3 exons.